RNAcentral lists this transfer RNA (72 nucleotides) under Pycnococcus provasolii. RNAcentral's name for it is "tRNA-Asp". It matches the Rfam family "tRNA". From Rfam's summary of the family: Transfer RNA (tRNA) molecules are approximately 80 nucleotides in length. Their secondary structure includes four short double-helical elements and three loops (D, anti-codon, and T loops). Lineage: Eukaryota; Viridiplantae; Chlorophyta; Pseudoscourfieldiophyceae; Pseudoscourfieldiales; Pycnococcaceae. RNAcentral also lists the same sequence under 1 other name. The record is from RNAcentral.
GAGAAUGUGACGCAGUGGUAGCGUGUUGGCUUGUCGCGCCAAAGGCCGCGAGUUCAAAUCUCGUCAUUCUCG